RNAcentral lists this ribosomal RNA (450 nucleotides) under uncultured bacterium. Its description in RNAcentral is "partial 16S ribosomal RNA". It matches the Rfam family "Bacterial small subunit ribosomal RNA", at positions 354 to 796 of the family's 1533-position model. The record is from RNAcentral.
GUGGGGAAUAUUGGACAAUGGGCGAAAGCCUGAUCCAGCCAUGCCGCGUGUGUGAAGAAGGUCUUCGGAUUGUAAAGCACUUUAAGUUGGGAGGAAGGGCAGUAAGUUAAUACCUUGCUGUUUUGACGUUACCGACAGAAUAAGCACCGGCUAACUUCGUGCCAGCAGCCGCGGUAAUACGACGGGUGCAAGCGUUAAUCGGAAUUACUGGGCGUAAACCGAGCGUAGGUGGUUUUGUAAGUUGGAGGUGAAAUCCCCGGGCUCAACCUGGGAACUGCCUCCAAAACUGCAUGACUAGAGUACGGUAGAGGGUAGUGGAAUUUCCUGUGUAGCGGUGAAAUGCGUAGAUAUAGGAAGGAACACCAGUGGCGAAGGCGACUACCUGGACUGAUACUGACACUGAGGUGCGAAAGCGUGGGGAGCAAACAGGAUUAGAUACCCUUGUAGUCC